AUUGAACGCUGGCGGCAGGCCUAACACAUGCGAGUCGAGCGGAUGAAGGGAGCUUGCUCCUGGAUUCAGCGGCGGACGGGUGAGUAAUGCCUAGGAAUCUGCCUGGUAGUGGGGGAUAACGUCCGGAAACGGGCGCUAUACCGCAUACGUCCUGAGGGAGAAAGUGGGGGAUCUUCGGACCUCACGCUAUCAGAUGAGCCUAGGUCGGAUUAGCUAGUUGGUGGGGUAAAGGCCUACCAAGGCGACGAUCCGUAACUGGUCUGAGAGGAUGAUCAGUCACACUGGAACUGAGACACGGUCCAGACUCCUACGGGAGGCAGCAGUGGGGAAUAUUGGACAAUGGGCGAAAGCCUGAUCCAGCCAUGCCGCGUGUGUGAAGAAGGUCUUCGGAUUGUAAAGCACUUUAAGUUGGGAGGAAGGGCAGUAAGUUAAUACCUUGCUGUUUUGACGUUACCAACAGAAUAAGCACCGGCUAACUUCGUG
This 483-nucleotide ribosomal RNA is filed under the name uncultured bacterium. Its description in RNAcentral is "partial 16S ribosomal RNA". It matches the Rfam family "Bacterial small subunit ribosomal RNA", at positions 30 to 507 of the family's 1533-position model. The record is from RNAcentral.